GCAGACAUUAACGCUCAAUACACAGUGGUAGAAUACAACGUUGCCAUCGUUGUGACCCGAGUUCGAUUCUCGGAUGAUGCA
Perkinsus chesapeaki is the source of this 81-nucleotide non-coding RNA. NCBI's taxonomy places the organism in Eukaryota, Perkinsozoa, Perkinsida, Perkinsidae. The record is from the annotation of a GenBank genome assembly.